AGUGAACGCUGGCGGUAGGCCUAACACAUGCAAGUCGAACGGCAGCACAGUAAGAGCUUGCUCUUACUGGUGGCGAGUGGCGGACGGGUGAGGAAUACAUCGGAAUCUACUUUUUCUUGGGGGAUAACGUAGGGAAACUUACGCUAAUACCGCAUACGACCUACGGGUGAAAGCAGGGGAUCUUCGGACCUUGCGCGAUUGAAUGAGCCGAUGUCGGAUUAGCUAGUUGGCGGGGUAAAGGCCCACCAAGGCGACGAUCCGUAGCUGGUCUGAGAGGAUGAUCAGCCACACUGGAACUGAGACACGGUCCAGACUCCUACGGGAGGCAGCAGUGGGGAAUAUUGGACAAUGGGCGCAAGCCUGAUCCAGCCAUACCGCGUGGGUGAAGAAGGCCUUCGGGUUGUAAAGCCCUUUUGUUGGGAAAGAAAAGCAGCAGGUUAAUACCCCGCUGUUCUGACGGUACCAAAAGAAUAAGCACCGGCUAACUUCGU
This 491-nucleotide ribosomal RNA is filed under the name uncultured bacterium. Its description in RNAcentral is "partial 16S ribosomal RNA". It matches the Rfam family "Bacterial small subunit ribosomal RNA", at positions 29 to 506 of the family's 1533-position model. The record is from RNAcentral.